Molecule: ribosomal RNA, 253 nt
Filed under: uncultured bacterium
Lineage: Bacteria
Description: partial 16S ribosomal RNA
Rfam family: Archaeal small subunit ribosomal RNA
Source: RNAcentral
UACCAGCACCCCGAGUGGUCGGGACGAUUAUUGGGCUUAAAGCAUCCGUAGCCGGUCUUGCAAGUCUUCCGUUAAAUCCAGCUGCUUAACGGAUGGGCUGCGGAAGAUACUACAAGACUAGGAGGCGGAAGAGGCAAGCGGUACUCAGUGGGUAGGGGUAAAAUCCUCUGAUCCAUUGAAGACCACCAGUGGCGAAGGCGGCUUGCCAGAACGCGCUCGACGGUGAGGGAUGAAAGCUGGGGGAGCAAACCGG